CAAAGCACUUUGAAGAGAGAGUUAAAGAGGACGUGAAACCGGUGAGGUGGAAACGGACAGAGCCGGCGUAUCUGGCUUGCAUUCAGCCGUGAACUGUUCAGCAGUGGGUACAUUUUUCCAGACUGGGGCGUGUGGUUGCUCGCUGGUCUGCUUGCGGUGCAUUUGCCGGUGGAGUGCGCCGAGAUGCCCGGCGCAGCGGCACAAGCCAGGUUCAGAGGCCAAAUCUGUUUGGAACCCGUGCCGCGGGGAGUGCUGUUUGUGCUGGGUGCACAGCGUGGUAGUGGGACGGUGGUUUCGGGCCCGAGUGGGUGCCGAGCUGGCAAUCAGCGGCGGUCGCGUGCGACACGUGCCGGCGGUCAGUUCGGUCCUGCUCGAGCUCUCAGCCGUCUGUUCUCGGUGUAAAAGCCGGUCAUCUGUCCGACCCGUCUUGAAACACGGACCAAGGAGUUUAGCGUGUGCGCAAGUCAUUGGGCGUUGAAAACCCAAAGGCGCAAUGAAAGUGAAGGUCUCCCUCGUUGGAGCUGACGUGUGAUCCCGGCCACUGCGGUGCGUCGGGCGCAACAUGGUCCCGUUCUGGCCGCUUGCGGCGGGGCGGAGACAGAGCGUACGCGCUGAGACCCGAAAGAUGGUGAACUAUUCCUGAGCAGGACGAAGCCAGAGGAAACUCUGGUGGAAGUCCGAAGCG
RNAcentral lists this ribosomal RNA (685 nucleotides) under Scutellonema truncatum. RNAcentral's name for it is "eukaryotic LSU rRNA". It matches the Rfam family "Eukaryotic large subunit ribosomal RNA", at positions 367 to 882 of the family's 3401-position model. The record is from RNAcentral. Lineage: Eukaryota; Metazoa; Nematoda; Chromadorea; Rhabditida; Hoplolaimidae.